AAUAGCUCCAGUGGUGUUUUGUUUUGUUUUGUUUUUACUUAUAACUAAAUGGUUUUUCGACAACCAGCCCAGGAACAAGUCUGCUGCUAACGGUCCUGUUCUCUGGGCUGACAAAGACCCUGGCUUCCUGAAUUGGGACACCUUCACAUCCAAUUACUAACUGUAAUUGUGGCCAAAACACUGUACUGGCUUCCUCCUCUGGAAAAUGAGGAAAAUAAUGCCUACCCUACUGGGUUAUUGUGAAGACUGAGAUCGGACGGAAAGAAGAGGAAUAGAGAGGCUUACCUGCUCAGUCCUCUGUGGAGCUGCGGGAGACAGACACGACUGGUACACAGAAGACAACCCUCUAGGUGGCUGGCAGACUUGCUCGGCAGCUCACUACUGCCCUCUCCUGACAAAAACAGGACUUCUCCGGCAUCUUGAGGGCCCAGAGCCUGCUUCUUCUCAGCUUCUGGGCAACAGGUGAAACUGCUCAGAGACCCUGCGCAACGUCAAAGAACUAAGAAUGGUCAACACUGAGGAGAUCCUUGAACCAACAUGAAAAGAAAAGGUAGAAAGGAGGAGGAGAGAGCAGCCAUUCUGAGUGCCUACCUGGCUAGCGGCUGUGCUAGGGGCUUUCAAAAGGGCUGAGAGAGUUGUGGCAAGGAAUAUGAAUAGAAUCCAUGUAGAGCAUAGUAAAAGCACAAUAAACGUUGAAUACAUUA
Molecule: long non-coding RNA, 704 nt
Organism: Suricata suricatta (meerkat)
Lineage: Eukaryota; Metazoa; Chordata; Mammalia; Carnivora; Herpestidae
Exons: 3
Source: RefSeq, a predicted model, not a curated record